Molecule: transfer RNA, 65 nt
Filed under: Nasutitermes sp. A TB-2017
Lineage: Eukaryota; Metazoa; Arthropoda; Insecta; Blattodea; Termitidae
Description: tRNA-Thr
Rfam family: tRNA
About the family: Transfer RNA (tRNA) molecules are approximately 80 nucleotides in length.
Source: RNAcentral
GUUUUAAUAAUUUAAUAAAAAUAUUGGUCUUGUAAACCAAAAAUAAGGAGCAACCUUUUAAAACU